GCAUCCAUAGCUCAGUGGUAGAGCAUCUGCUCAGCAUGCAAAAAGUCCCGGGUUCAAUCCUCGGCAUCUCCA
This 72-nucleotide transfer RNA is filed under the name Sphaerodactylus townsendi. RNAcentral describes it as "tRNA-Ala". Lineage: Eukaryota; Metazoa; Chordata; Lepidosauria; Squamata; Sphaerodactylidae. The record is from RNAcentral.